This 753-nucleotide ribosomal RNA is filed under the name Acinetobacter sp. A-1. RNAcentral's name for it is "bacterial SSU rRNA". It matches the Rfam family "Bacterial small subunit ribosomal RNA", at positions 27 to 774 of the family's 1533-position model. The record is from RNAcentral. Lineage: Bacteria; Pseudomonadati; Pseudomonadota; Gammaproteobacteria; Moraxellales; Moraxellaceae.
GAUUGAACGCUGGCGGCAGGCUUAACACAUGCAAGUCGAGCGGAGAGAGGUAGCUUGCUACUGAUCUUAGCGGCGGACGGGUGAGUAAUGCUUAGGAAUCUGCCUAUUAGUGGGGGACAACAUUUCGAAAGGAAUGCUAAUACCGCAUACGUCCUACGGGAGAAAGCAGGGGAUCUUCGGACCUUGCGCUAAUAGAUGAGCCUAAGUCGGAUUAGCUAGUUGGUGGGGUAAAGGCCUACCAAGGCGACGAUCUGUAGCGGGUCUGAGAGGAUGAUCCGCCACACUGGGACUGAGACACGGCCCAGACUCCUACGGGAGGCAGCAGUGGGGAAUAUUGGACAAUGGGCGCAAGCCUGAUCCAGCCAUGCCGCGUGUGUGAAGAAGGCCUUAUGGUUGUAAAGCACUUUAAGCGAGGAGGAGGCUACUUUAGAUAAUACCUAGAGAUAGUGGACGUUACUCGCAGAAUAAGCACCGGCUAACUCUGUGCCAGCAGCCGCGGUAAUACAGAGGGUGCAAGCGUUAAUCGGAUUUACUGGGCGUAAAGCGCGCGUAGGCGGCUAAUUAAGUCAAAUGUGAAAUCCCCGAGCUUAACUUGGGAAUUGCAUUCGAUACUGGUUAGCUAGAGUGUGGGAGAGGAUGGUAGAAUUCCAGGUGUAGCGGUGAAAUGCGUAGAGAUCUGGAGGAAUACCGAUGGCGAAGGCAGCCAUCUGGCCUAACACUGACGCUGAGGUGCGAAAGCAUGGGGAGCAAACA